RNAcentral lists this ribosomal RNA (497 nucleotides) under uncultured bacterium. RNAcentral's name for it is "partial 16S ribosomal RNA". It matches the Rfam family "Bacterial small subunit ribosomal RNA", at positions 28 to 507 of the family's 1533-position model. The record is from RNAcentral.
GAUGAACGCUGGCGGCGUGCCUAAUACAUGCAAGUCGAGCGAACGGACGAGAAGCUUGCUUCUCUGAUGUUAGCGGCGGACGGGUGAGUAACACGUGGAUAACCUACCUAUAAGACUGGGAUAACUUCGGGAAACCGGAGCUAAUACCGGAUGAUAUUUUGAACCGCAUGGUUCAAAAGUGAAAGACGGUCUUGCUGUCACUUAUAGAUGGAUCCGCGCUGCAUUAGCUAGUUGGUAAGGUAACGGCUUACCAAGGCAACGAUGCAUAGCCGACCUGAGAGGGUGAUCGGCCACACUGGAACUGAGACACGGUCCUGACUCCUACGGGAGGCAGCAGUAGGGAAUCUUCCGCAAUGGGCGAAAGCCUGACGGAGCAACGCCGCGUGAGUGAUGAAGGUCUUCGGAUCGUAAAGCUCUGUUAUUAGGGAAGAACAUAUGUGUAAGUAACUGUGCACAUCUUGACGGUACCUAAUCAGAAAGCCACGGCUAACUACGUG